This 445-nucleotide ribosomal RNA is filed under the name uncultured bacterium. RNAcentral describes it as "bacterial SSU rRNA". It matches the Rfam family "Bacterial small subunit ribosomal RNA", at positions 355 to 825 of the family's 1533-position model. The record is from RNAcentral.
UGGGGAAUAUUGGACAAUGGGCGCAAGCCUGAUCCAGCCAUGCCGCGUGGAUGAUGAAGGCCCUAGGGUUGUAAAGUCCUUUCGACGGGGAAGAUAAUGACGGUACCCGUAGAAGAAGCCCCGGCUAACUUCGUGCCAGCAGCCGCGGUAAUACGAAGGGGGCUAGCGUUGCUCGGAAUCACUGGGCGUAAAGCGCACGUAGGCGGACUCUUAAGUCGGUGGUGAAAUCCUGGAGCUCAACUCCAGAACUGCCUUCGAUACUGAGAGUCUCGAGUCCGAGAGAGGUGAGUGGAACUGCGAGUGUAGAGGUGAAAUUCGUAGAUAUUCGCAAGAACACCAGUGGCGAAGGCGGCUCACUGGCUCGGUACUGACGCUGAGGUGCGAAAGCGUGGGGAGCAAACAGGAUUAGAUACCCAGGUAGUCUGAGCGGGCUGGCAAGGCGCAU